This 253-nucleotide ribosomal RNA is filed under the name uncultured bacterium. RNAcentral's name for it is "partial 16S ribosomal RNA". It matches the Rfam family "Bacterial small subunit ribosomal RNA", at positions 524 to 776 of the family's 1533-position model. The record is from RNAcentral.
UACAGAGGUCCCAAGCGUUGUUCGGAUUCAUUGGGCGUAAAGGGUGUGUAGGUGGCGCCGUAAGUCGGGUGUGAAAUCUCGGGGCUUAACUCCGAAACUGCAUUCGAUACUGCCGUGCUUGAGGACUGGAGAGGAGACUGGAAUUUACGGUGUAGCGGUGAAAUGCGUAGAUAUCGUAAGGAAGACCAGUGGCGAAGGCGGGUCUCUGGACAGUUCCUGACGCUGAAGCACGAAGGCCAGGGGAGCAAACGGG